GCGUUGUCCGGAAUUAUUGGGCGUAAAGAGCUCGUAGGUGGCUUGUCACGUCGGGUGUGAAAUCCCAGGGCUUAACUCUGGGUCUGCAUUCGAUACGGGCUGGCUAGGGUCCUUCAGGGGAGACUGGAAUUCCUGGUGUAGCGGUGAAAUGCGCAGAUAUCAGGAGGAACACCGGUGGCGAAGGCGGGUCUCUGGGAAGGUACCGACGCUGAGGAGCGAAAGCGUG
This 226-nucleotide ribosomal RNA is filed under the name uncultured bacterium. RNAcentral describes it as "partial 16S ribosomal RNA". It matches the Rfam family "Bacterial small subunit ribosomal RNA", at positions 538 to 763 of the family's 1533-position model. The record is from RNAcentral.